AUGGGCCGGACCUCUAUCCUCCUUGUGCUACUAGCUCACUGCACAGGUUCCCUGUCCCAGCCGGUGCUGACCCAGCCCCCUUCUCUCUCUGCAUCUCUGGGAACUUCUGUGAGACUCACCUGUACCCUGAGAAGUGGCUCCAGAGUUGGUGAUUUCUGGAUAAGAUGGUACCAGCAGAAGCCAGGGAGCCCUCCCCGGUAUCUCCUGUACUACCACUCAGACUCAGAUAAGCACCAGGGCUCUGGGGUCCCCAGCCACUUCUCUGGAUGCAGUGAUGCCUCUGCCAAUGCAGGGCUUCUGAUCAUCUCUGGGCUGCAGCCUGAAGACGAGGCUGACUACUACUGUAACACAUGGCAAGGCAACUCUAAGUCUUACACUGUGUUCCAGACUCAUGAGGAAGUGUGA
This is a non-coding RNA of Hyaena hyaena (striped hyena), 405 nucleotides long. NCBI's taxonomy places the organism in Eukaryota, Metazoa, Chordata, Mammalia, Carnivora, Hyaenidae. The record is from the annotation of a RefSeq genome assembly.